This 72-nucleotide transfer RNA is filed under the name Bos taurus (domestic cattle). It matches the Rfam family "tRNA". From Rfam's summary of the family: Transfer RNA (tRNA) molecules are approximately 80 nucleotides in length. Their secondary structure includes four short double-helical elements and three loops (D, anti-codon, and T loops). The record is from Rfam by way of RNAcentral. RNAcentral also lists the same sequence under 4 other names. Lineage: Eukaryota; Metazoa; Chordata; Mammalia; Artiodactyla; Bovidae.
UCCCUGGUGGCUCAGAGGUUAAAGCGUCUGCCUCCAAUGCGGGAGACCUGGGUUCGAUCCCUGGAUGGGGAA